GGGUGUAUAGUUCAGACUGGAAGAACACCUACUUAGUAACCUUCCGUCGAAAUGAUGGUGAGGGGUGAUGCGCGCGACAUCUCCUGAUUUCAUACGAGAGACGAGGUGACUAAGAUAGGAGGCCCGGGGUUCAAGUCCUCGUGCACCCA
This 149-nucleotide transfer RNA is filed under the name Halalkalicoccus sp. RNAcentral's name for it is "tRNA-OTHER". It matches the Rfam family "tRNA". Rfam says of the family: Transfer RNA (tRNA) molecules are approximately 80 nucleotides in length. Their secondary structure includes four short double-helical elements and three loops (D, anti-codon, and T loops). The record is from RNAcentral. Lineage: Archaea; Methanobacteriati; Methanobacteriota; Halobacteria; Halobacteriales; Halalkalicoccaceae.